This 74-nucleotide non-coding RNA is filed under the name unclassified sequences. RNAcentral's name for it is "RT-6 RNA". It matches the Rfam family "RT-6 RNA". From Rfam's summary of the family: Firmicutes. Nearby to self-splicing intron genes The record is from Rfam by way of RNAcentral.
UGCCUUAUGUAUUGACAUAAGGGUAAGGGAUUGUUGUCAACUGUCUGAUUAGCAUUCCAAUCUGGAAUCGAGUC